Molecule: long non-coding RNA, 441 nt
Filed under: Ictidomys tridecemlineatus (thirteen-lined ground squirrel)
Lineage: Eukaryota; Metazoa; Chordata; Mammalia; Rodentia; Sciuridae
Description: lncRNA (ENSSTOG00000030070.1)
Source: RNAcentral
UUCUCAGGAGUCCUAAAUUGUGAAGGGAAGGACAAGGGAACAGAAGGAAGACUGACUGGAAGGAAGACAAGGAAACAGAAGGAAGACUGCUCUGAUUCCAGAGCAGCGUCCUGGCUCCAGCUCUUCAUCUGGUGUUUGAGCUCAUAUCAGAUGUCUAAAGAAGAUAGUUUCUGAGGUUGUGGGUCAUGAUGGCUGCUGAAGCUUCUACUCCAGAUCUGAAGGGUAGCAGUGCUCAGGAGACCCCAGACACUUACAUCCCUGAGUAUAACAUCAGAGAAGGGUGGGAAUGCUGUACUCCAGAACAAGGGGCUCUUGGAGAAGAACCAAGUUUGCUAUGGAAUCUGCUGGAGAGGUUACUGGAACAAGAAUGAAGAGGUCAUAGGUACACAAAGGUAUGUCACUUCCCUUCCACCAAACUUGUGUGUUCAACAGGAUAACAAU